AUUGAACGCUGGCGGCAGGCCUAACACAUGCAAGUCGAACGGUAACAGGAAGCAGCUUGCUGCUUUGCUGACGAGUGGCGGACGGGUGAGUAAUGUCUGGGAAACUGCCCGAUGGAGGGGGAUAACUACUGGAAACGGUAGCUAAUACCGCAUAACGUCGCAAGACCAAAGAGGGGGACCUUAGGGCCUCUUGCCAUCGGAUGUGCCCAGAUGGGAUUAGCUAGUAGGUGGGGUAACGGCCCACCUAGGCGACGAUCCCUAGCUGGUCUGAGAGGAUGACCAGCCACACUGGAACUGAGACACGGUCCAGACUCCUACGGGAGGCAGCAGUGGGGAAUAUUGCACAAUGGGCGCAAGCCUGAUGCAGCCAUGCCGCGUGUAUGAAGAAGGCCUUCGGGUUGUAAAGUACUUUCAGCGGGGAGGAAGGGAGUAAAGUUAAUACCUUUGCUCAUUGACGUUACCCGCAGAAGAAGCACCGGCUAACUCCGUG
This 490-nucleotide ribosomal RNA is filed under the name uncultured bacterium. Its description in RNAcentral is "partial 16S ribosomal RNA". It matches the Rfam family "Bacterial small subunit ribosomal RNA", at positions 30 to 507 of the family's 1533-position model. The record is from RNAcentral.